AUUGAACGCUGGCGGAAUGCUUUACACAUGCAAGUCGAACGGCAGCACGGGAGCUUGCUCCUGGUGGCGAGUGGCGAACGGGCGAGUAAUGCGUCGGAACGUGCCGAGUAAUGGGGGAUAACGCAGCGAAAGUUGUGCUAAUACCGCAUACGCCCUGAGGGGGAAAGUGGGGGAUCGCAAGACCUCACGUUAUUCGAGCGGCCGACGUCUGAUUAGCUAGUUGGUGGGGUAAAGGCCUACCAAGGCGACGAUCAGUAGCGGGUCUGAGAGGAUGAUCCGCCACACUGGGACUGAGACACGGCCCAGACUCCUACGGGAGGCAGCAGUGGGGAAUCUUAGACAAUGGGCGCAAGCCUGAUCUAGCCAUGCCGCGUGAGCGAUGAAGGCCUUAGGGUUGUAAAGCUCUUUCAGUGGGGAAGAUAAUGACUGUACCCACAGAAGAAGCCCCGGCUAACUCCGUGCCAGCAGCCGCGGUAAAGUAGACGU
RNAcentral lists this ribosomal RNA (486 nucleotides) under uncultured bacterium. RNAcentral describes it as "bacterial SSU rRNA". It matches the Rfam family "Bacterial small subunit ribosomal RNA", at positions 29 to 532 of the family's 1533-position model. The record is from RNAcentral.